RNAcentral lists this transfer RNA (68 nucleotides) under bovine gut metagenome. It matches the Rfam family "tRNA". Rfam says of the family: Transfer RNA (tRNA) molecules are approximately 80 nucleotides in length. Their secondary structure includes four short double-helical elements and three loops (D, anti-codon, and T loops). The record is from RNAcentral.
CGACGUAGCUCAGUGGUAGAGCACUUCCUUGGUAAGGAAGAGGCCACGGGUUCAAUUCCCGUUGUCGG